UACGUAGGGUGCGAGCGUUGUCCGGAUUUAUUGGGCGUAAAGCGCGCGCAGGUGGUUUAAUAAGUCUGAUGUAAAAGGCAGUGGCUCAACCAUUGUGUGCAUUGGAAACUGUUAGACUUGAGUGCAGUAGAGGAGAGUGGAAUUCCAUGUGUAGCGGUGAAAUGCGUAGAUAUCGGGAGGAACACCAGUAGCGAAGGCGGCCAUCUGGCUGGUAACUGACGCUGAGGUGCGAGAGCGUGGGGGCAAACAGG
RNAcentral lists this ribosomal RNA (251 nucleotides) under uncultured microorganism. Its description in RNAcentral is "partial 16S ribosomal RNA". It matches the Rfam family "Bacterial small subunit ribosomal RNA", at positions 524 to 776 of the family's 1533-position model. The record is from RNAcentral.